RNAcentral lists this unclassified non-coding RNA (232 nucleotides) under Hevea brasiliensis (rubber tree). The record is from RNAcentral. Lineage: Eukaryota; Viridiplantae; Streptophyta; Magnoliopsida; Malpighiales; Euphorbiaceae.
GUGCCAUAAUUUUGAAGAAUUAUUGCUCUCAACUAUAUUCACAAGAUUGGGAGAUAUUAAAGCUUCAAACCAGUAUAAAACUGAAGACUUCUUCGCUCUAGUCACAACUAGUAAACCUUUUAGUGAGUUUCAAUUACCCAUCAUUGAACAUGCUAGAAUAUUUGUCAUCAUCAAGUUUACAAGCAAAGAUCAAAUGCAACCAGACAUCCGGUGCAUGUCUAACAUCUUUAAG